AGCUAACGCGUUAAGUCGACCGCCUGGGGAGUACGGCCGCAAGGUUAAAACUCAAAGGAAUUGACGGGGGCCCGCACAAGCGGCGGAGCAUGCGGAUUAAUUCGAUGCAACGCGAAGAACCUUACCAAGGCUUGACAUACACUGGACCGUUCUGGAAACAGUUCUUCUCUUUGGAGCUGGUGUACAGGUGGUGCAUGGUUGUCGUCAGCUCGUGUCGUGAGAUGUUGGGUUAAGUCCCGCAACGAGCGCAACCCUCGUUCUAUGUUGCCAGCACGUGAUGGUGGGAACUCAUAGGAGACUGCCGGGGUCAACUCGGAGGAAGGUGGGGAUGACGUCAAAUCAUCAUGCCCUUUAUGUCUUGGGCUUCACGCAUGCUACAAUGGCUGGUACAGAGAGAGGCGAACCCGUGAGGGUAAGCGAAUCCCUUAAAGCCAGUCUCAGUUCGGAUCGUAGUCUGCAAUUCGACUACGUGAAGUCGGAGUCGCUAGUAAUCGCAGAUCAGCAACGCUGCGGUGAAUACGUUCCCGGGCCUUGUACACACCGCCCGUCAAGUCACGAAAGUCGGUAACACCCGAAGCCGGUGGCCCAACCCUUGUGGAGGGGGCCGUCUAAGGUGGGACUGGUGAUUGGGACUAAGUCGUAACAAG
This 647-nucleotide ribosomal RNA is filed under the name uncultured bacterium. Its description in RNAcentral is "bacterial SSU rRNA". It matches the Rfam family "Bacterial small subunit ribosomal RNA", at positions 850 to 1495 of the family's 1533-position model. The record is from RNAcentral.